RNAcentral lists this ribosomal RNA (441 nucleotides) under uncultured bacterium. Its description in RNAcentral is "partial 16S ribosomal RNA". It matches the Rfam family "Bacterial small subunit ribosomal RNA", at positions 338 to 795 of the family's 1533-position model. The record is from RNAcentral.
CCUACGGGCGGCAGCAGUGGGGAAUAUUGCACAAUGGGGGAAACCCUGAUGCAGCAACGCCGCGUGAGGGAGGAAGUAUUUCGGUGUGUAAAGCUCUAUUAGUAGGGGAUUGAAAAGGAGGUACCUGACAAAGAAGUCCCGGCUAACUAAGUGCCAGCAGGCGCGGUAAUACGUAGGAGGCGAGGGUUAUCCGGAUUUACUGGGUUUAAAGGGAGCGUAGACGGAAAGGCAAGUCAGAAGUGAAAACCAAAGGCUCAACCAUAAGAUUGCUUUUGAAACUGGCAAACUUGAGUACAGGAGAGGUGAGAGGAAUUCCUGGUGUAGCGGUGAAAUGCUUAGAUAUUACGAAGAACUCCAAUUGCGAAGGCAGCUUACUGGACCGCAACUGACAUUGAUGCUCGAAAGUGUGGGUAUCAAACAGGAUUAGAUACCCUUGUAGUC